UACGAAGGGGGCUAGCGUUGCUCGGAAUUACUGGGCGUAAAGGGAGCGUAGGCGGCCAGUUUAGUCAGAGGUGAAAGCCCAGGGCUCAACCCUGGAAUUGCCUUUGAUACUGAUUGUCUUGAGUAUGGGAGAGGUGUGUGGAACUCCGAGUGUAGAGGUGAAAUUCGUAGAUAUUCGGAAGAACACCAGUGGCGAAGGCGACACACUGGCCCAUUACUGACGCUGAGGCUCGAAAGCGUGGGGAGCAAACAGG
This 253-nucleotide ribosomal RNA is filed under the name uncultured bacterium. Its description in RNAcentral is "partial 16S ribosomal RNA". It matches the Rfam family "Bacterial small subunit ribosomal RNA", at positions 524 to 776 of the family's 1533-position model. The record is from RNAcentral.